GACGAACGCUGGCGGCGUGCUUAACACAUGCAAGUCGAACGGAAAGGCCCUGCUUGCAGGGUACUCGAGUGGCGAACGGGCGAGUAACACGUGGGUGAUCUGCCCUGCACUUCGGGAUAAGCCUGGGAAACUGGGUCUAAUACCGGAUAGGAGCCAUUUUUAGUGUGAUGGUUGGAAAGUUUUUUCGGUGUAGGAUGAGCUCGCGGCCUAUCAGCUUGUUGGUGGGGUAAUGGCCUACCAAGGCGGCGACGGGUAGCCGGCCUGAGAGGGUGGACGGCCACUUUGGGCCUGGGAUACGGCCCAGACCCCUCCGGGGGGCCGCAGUGGGGAAUUUUGCAAAAUGGGCUCAACCCUGUUGCAGCGCCCCCGCGUGGGGGAUGACGGCCUUCGGGUUGUAAACUCUUUUCGCUAGGGACGAAGCUUUUUGUGCCGGUACCUAGAUAAGAAGCCCCGGCUAACUCCGU
Molecule: ribosomal RNA, 464 nt
Filed under: uncultured bacterium
Lineage: Bacteria
Description: partial 16S ribosomal RNA
Rfam family: Bacterial small subunit ribosomal RNA
Source: RNAcentral